This 440-nucleotide ribosomal RNA is filed under the name uncultured bacterium. RNAcentral's name for it is "bacterial SSU rRNA". It matches the Rfam family "Bacterial small subunit ribosomal RNA", at positions 338 to 795 of the family's 1533-position model. The record is from RNAcentral.
CCUACGGGUGGCAGCAGUGGGGAAUCUUAGACAAUGGGCGCAAGCCUGAUCUAGCCAUGCCGCGUGUGUGAUGAAGGCCUUAGGGUCGUAAAGCACUUUCGCCAGGGAUGAUAAUGACAGUACCUGGUAAAGAAACCCCGGCUAACUCCGUGCCAGCAGCCGCGGUAAUACGGAGGGGGUUAGCGUUGUUCGGAAUUACUGGGCGUAAAGCGUACGUAGGCGGAUCAGAAAGUAGGGGGUGAAAUCCCAGGGCUCAACCCUGGAACUGCCUCCUAAACUCCUGGUCUUGAGUUCGAGAGAGGUGAGUGGAAUUCCAAGUGUAGAGGUGAAAUUCGUAGAUAUUUGGAGGAACACCAGUGGCGAAGGCGGCUCACUGGCUCGAUACUGACGCUGAGGUACGAAAGUGUGGGGAGCAAACAGGAUUAGAUACCCCAGUAGUC